CCGCGGCGGGGGGCGGGCCCACGGAGGGAGACGCGCAGGGCCUUGGCGCUGCUGUCCCGGUCAGAGCGAGGCCUGUGCUCGCCCCCGGGUCUGGAGCGGGCGCUGGGUCCCCGCGCCCCGGGGGCUUCUCCCUCCGGCUGCAGCCGGCGAGAGUCCCGCCACGAGCACCCACCUGAGCCCACGGCCUCGCAUCGCGGGCACCUGAGAGUUGGGCCAACCACAGGUGCUCCGGGCGGCUGCUCGUCAGGUGUGCGCCUGGCCGCGUUCAGCCUCCCUCCUUAAAGAGCGCGGCCCCCACAGUCCCCAGGGUGGGGAAGGCCUCGGCCCUGCGGGGACAUUUGGGGAAAGGGCAGAGCUAGAAAGUGUUUUGAGUUCCUCCAGGUGUCUGCGAUUCUAUUGGCAGGAAAAUUCUGGACCGGGCGUGCAUUCUGUUUGGUAUUUGUCCAAAGUUGAGAGGUGGGGGUGGACACCCUAGAAGCAAUGGACUACCUGCUGUUCUUCAAGAGGAAGCCCUGAUUGUUUGGGACAAUUAAAACACGCGCGUGUUUCUGUCUUUGAAAGAAGCACUCUUAAGUUUUUCAGAAUGUUGGAGUCUGAAUUUUUAAGCAAAUCAACCAGGCAGGGCGCAGUGACCCACACCUUUAAUCCCAGCACUGGGGAGGCAGAGGCAGGUGAAUCUCCGUGAGUUCAAGUCUAGCGCUGUCUAUAUAGGGCAGCCAGAGCUUUAUGAGAGACCCUGCCUCAUAAAUGAAAAAGAAAGAACUCAGCCUGCAGUGUAUUUGCCAGUUUUUUUUUAAAACUAUGUUCUUUUCUUUGGAAUAAUAGCAAUAUGGCAGUUCAUUUUACUUUUAAUGUAUUGCCAGUGGUGAAGGACGGUUUCUGGAAGGAAGCUGUGUCUGCAGAGACUGACUGGCUAUAGCUGCUAUCCAGUGGAAAGCUGGGAUUGCUGCAGGGCCAGAGGCUCAUCACCUGAUCUCGGGCUAGUUCUAGCAUCGCAGAAUAGCCAUUGACUUGACCGCCUCUAAGUGUGUACUAAAAACCUUGUGACUAGGAGAUAAAAUACCUUUCGGGACCUAUAAACUCAGCAGACCACUGACUUUCACCAGUCCAAAGCUAAGAAUGCGGUAAGACAGCAUCCUGUGACUACAGUGAAGCUGCCUGCACCUUGGCCAGCCUGCCUGCCGGUCUGAUGCACUUUAGUAAAAUAUGCCAAUGUAUUUUAAACGUGCCUCGACUUCUUUGUUCUGUAAAACUUCAUGAAACUGUUUCCAGUUGAACCAUGAAAUUUGAGGUCAUUUAAAUCUGUUUUCCCAGGCCAUGGUCACUCAGGGUAGCUCCAGAAUAAUUCCUCGCGUGCCCUUUAAGAGGGCAGCUGUAUUUUUUGCAUCAACAAUGUGACACAUAAGAUUACAAUUCUAAUAUGUCGUUGUCUUUUUAUACAUUUUUCCUUUAUGGCUUCAUUUUUAAAUUGUAGUUUUUUUUGCUUUUCAAUAGUUGCAUAAAAAUAGACACAUCAGAUUUCAAGUUUACUUUGGUUUGUAUUUAACGUAUUUUUAGCGAAUAUUUUUAAUCACUGUUGUACAGGGUGUGUGGGUCAGGAAUGAGUCCAUAGGUUCAGGAGCAUACAGAAGCCAUAAGAGAGUGUGGGACUCCGCUAAAGCUGAAGUGAUUGGCAUUUGGGAGCUGCCCAGUCCAGUCCAUGCUGAGAGCCCAGCUCCUGCCCUAAAGUUCUUAAUGAUUGAGCCAUCUCUCCCGCCCCUAUUGUUUUGAAUGUGUCAGAAUUGUGAGAAAACAAUUCCUAGUGUUUAUGCCUUUUAAUAUGUGGUAUUAUAGAAUGCCAGUCAGAUCCAAGAUAGUAUGUUUUUGCAUUUUCUACAAACAAGUAUUUUAGUCAUUCUAAACAAGCAGUUGCUUUCUGUAUACUCUGGGCAACUGGCAGUGGACCAUUUCAGAAAAGCCAGUAAUUUGAUCACAGAAUACUCAGAGAGCUCCAGGAAAGAUUCUAGAAAGGGUAUUCUUUUAUUAACUUAAAGCCGGAGAUGGCUUUCAAAUUUGCUGUCGUCUAGGCAAUUGAUUCUUCUUGGUACCAUAAGCAACUGUGCCUACCUCUGAUUGCUGUGGGACAAUGGUCUUUUAUCCUGUCAUUUGUAUUAUUUUUAAUAAAGUACUGGUUGGCCAGUAGCCAGGCAGGAAGUAGAGGUGUGGCAACGAGAAUUCUGGGAAGAGGAAGUUUCAAUCUGCAGUUGUGACCCAAUCUCAGAGGAAGCAAGAUGUGACUGUCCCGCCAAAAAAGGACAGGACGCGACAGAAAACCGGUCAGCAUCUGAUGAUGCUGGAAUUGUCAUCAGCUCAGCCUUCCACCCUAGGUAGCAAGCACUAAGAGAACAUCCAUGAUUCCAUACAAAACAAGGAUAGAAGCUGUGCUGAAGACCAGGUUACUCAAGAGAAUCAUAAGAGAGCAGAGGCCUUAAUGUGGGAAGGAGUCAGAAAAAUCCCCAAGUUACACUAAAGUGAGAGUAGAAGAUUUUGGAUGAAAUGCAUGGUUUGGUGAGCACCUGCUGCCUGCCUUGCUGGUACCCUCCUCCCAUCCUCUUCCAUUCUCAAAACGUCUCUGUGCACGUGGUGCUGUGUGUUGCUGGAAGGACCUCGCAGAGGGGCAGAAAGCUCCUCACAAAGUCUAGUGGAAGAGUUCCCAGUACUCCUGCAGGUCUGACCAACUGAUGCUGGACAACCAGUACUUUGCUAAACCAGCAUAGUCCCAAACAACAGUCUAUAGACAUGUGUCCUUAUACCCGCAGCACCGGUCUUUUGUGCAGAAAACUUGCAGCAAGUUCAGCAAAGACUCGGGUUGAUUACACUCACUCACCAGCACAUGGGCACCUAAAACAGAAUUCAGCCAAAUGUGUGCAUGUGUGCACUGUUGUCUGGUUAAAGGAACAUACUACAUGCCCAGGAUAAACAUAGUUUUCAGACGAUCCCAGGUGCCCCCUUUUGGAGAUAAUGAGAUGGUUCAGUGUAAGGAUGGUUGUUGCCAAGCCUCGCAACUGGAGUUUGAUCCUGGGAACCUACAGAGUAGGAGGACUGACAUUGGCUUGUAUUUGCUGCUUCCUUUGGUCACGUAAAGGGGAAGGGUGCGGUGAGGGCAGACAGAACAACGUGCUGCCACAGAGGACCACAGAAGAUGUAACGGAACCAAAAGGAAUUGGGGAAAAAAAAGAAGUUUUCCUCGGAGAGAAGCAGACCUUGGCCUCAGUGCAAGUGAGGAGAAACAAAGUGUGGCAGAGACAUCGGAGAAACUGGAGCCAGAAAUGUGAGAGCCACUGACAGGCAUGCGGUUUCAGAGAAUCCCCGUGGACGUCCCGUGGAUGAGCUGGUCCACUCAGAGACGUGAGAGCCACUGACUGAAAAUUGUGAUGCCCAGUGAGGCGACUGGCUCUGGGCCGAGCAGGAGAGGAGAAGAGACUGCGCCGGAGAUGGUAGCCACAGUUGGCUCCUCGGCGCUCAUCAGGUGGCCUCUACCUCCAUCCUCUGUACACUUCCCUGCAUUGACAUGCAAACAUCAGGUCGCAGUGACAAUCCUCGGCUGAGAUUUCAUUCUGUGCAGAGAGGCGCUCACGGCACAUUCGUCCGGAUCCUCAGCACCACUAUGACUGGUCAGUAUGUGUCUUCAUGUAGAGUUUGUUCCGGCUGUGACAAUGGGUGGGUGACUACACCCGUGUCUUCCUUACAGUAAAUCACCAGAGAAAAACGGUGGGUAACAAGCACGUAACUACAGAUGGAGGCUCACACACCAUGAACUGAGACUUCGUAGUAAGUGGAAGACCAGGGCAGACAGAGUUCAUCUUAUCAAUUUACAUAAACCACAUACAUCAGUAUAAAAGUCCAUUUUUGGGCAUCAGUAUUAUUAUUAUUAUUUUUUUGAGACAGAGUUUCUCUGUGCAGCCGUGGCUGUCCUAGAACUCGCUCUGUAGACCAGGCAAUCCUCCUGCCUCUGCCUCCUGAGUGCUGGGAUUAAAGGCAUGCACCAACAAUACUCAGCUGAGGGCAUCUCUAUUCUAAAAGGUAAUUUUAAACACACACACAUGAGGGAGGAGGGACAGGCAUGGAGAGUAAAACCAAUCUUAAAAAAACAAACAAAAAACCCUACUUUUCUCCCCCCCUAAAUUUAAUCUUUUUGUUAUUGUUUGUUUACUUAUUGGAGACAAGAUUUCAGAUAGUACAGGCUGGCUUUGAACUUGUUAGGUAGUUGAGGUCAACUCUGAACUGUCUGCUUCCAUUUCCAAAGUUCUAGGAUACCAGGUGUGUGCCACUACACCUAUGUUUCUAUUUUAAUUUUUUAAAAAGAAUUUAAGACAACUCAUAAAUCUAAUUUUCAUAUUUCCCUAUAAAUUUAUGUGUUUCUGGAAGUCCCAUAGGGGUCAGACCAUAGAUUAAUGUCAUUUUAAAAUGGAAUUUAAAUUCUUUAAAAAAUUUUCCCUAUUACUUUAUGUGUACGAGUGUUUUGCCUGCAUGUAAGCGCACUGAGUAUGUGCCUGGUGCCAGAGACCAGAAGAGAGUUUAGGUUGCUGGGACUGGAAUUACUCAUGGCUAUGAGCUGUCAUAUGGGUGCUGGGAGGAUCUUUGUCCUGUGCAAGAACAGUCAGUGUCUGAAGUGUUGCACCAUCUCCCCAACCCUGGAGCUUAAAUUCCUAUUGCAAAUACAGACGCUUUCAUUGUCUAAAUGCCAUUUAAGUCCUUUUAUUCUUUAUUCAUAGUUUUUCAGGUUCUGAGUCUGGUGCAUUUCACAAGCUUGCGUUUUCAAAUUUAUCCUGUUUCUCACUUUUCACUAACAGGGCUACACAGUUUUCAGAAGAAGGUAUCACUUCUUAAGGGGUUCCCUUUCGUGAUGUAAGCUAGCAGCCCAAGGGAAAAAAUACUCACAUUGUACUGUCCUUUUAUUGUUUGUGGUGAUGCUGGUAUGAACAAGCUUAGAAAAUAGAAACCGGAGCAGCUUGCCUGUUGUGUGGGAGUUGAACAGACUGAGUCAGAUGCGCCUCUCAGCUGGGAGACCGGACCUGCGACACCCUGCAGUGUGCAACAAGGAAAACAGCAACAGGACCGGCCUCUAUUCAACCGGCGUGUGCCCAAGACAGGAGCAGAAAGCAGCUGCGUCAAAUGCACACGGGGCUGCUCACUCUGCUGACGGAGGGGAGGCAGAGGCGGGAUGGAAGGCCAGUGGUAAUAAAGACUGUUUUGGUCUUCUUUA
Molecule: long non-coding RNA, 5245 nt
Organism: Alexandromys fortis (reed vole)
Lineage: Eukaryota; Metazoa; Chordata; Mammalia; Rodentia; Cricetidae
Exons: 12
Source: RefSeq, a predicted model, not a curated record